GAUGAAGAACGUAGCGAAAUGCGAUAAGUAAUGUGAAUUGCAGAAUUCAGUGAAUCAUCGAAUCUUUGAACGCACAUUGCGCCCCUUGGUAUUCCGAGGGGCAUGCCUGUUCGAGCGUCAUUAUAACCCCUCAAGCUCAGCUUGGUGUUGGGACCUGCUGCACUGGCAGCCCUUAAAAUCAGUGGCGGCGCCAUCUGGCUCUAAGCGUAGUAAUUCUUCUCGCUAUGGAGUCCUGGUGGAUGCUUGCCAUCAACCCCCAAUUUUUCUAUGGUUGACCUCGGAUCAGGUAGGGAUACCCGCUGAACUUAAGCAUAUCAAUAAGCGGAGGA
RNAcentral lists this unclassified non-coding RNA (329 nucleotides) under soil metagenome. Its description in RNAcentral is "partial contains 5.8S ribosomal RNA, internal transcribed spacer 2, and large subunit ribosomal RNA". The stretch from base 1 to 120 matches the Rfam family "5.8S ribosomal RNA", at positions 35 to 154 of the family's 154-position model. The record is from RNAcentral.